GGAGGGUGCAAGCGUUAUCCGGGAAUUAUUGGGGUUUAAAGGGGUGCGUAGGCGGGAUGAUAAGUCAGUGGGUGAAAUCUUACAGCUUAACUGUAAAACUGCCAUUGAUACUAUCGUUCUUGAAUACAAUUGAAGUGGGCGGAAUGUGUCAUGUAGCGGUGAAAUGCUUAGAUAUGACACAGAACACCUAUUGCGAAGGCAGCUCACUAAGUUGUUAUUGACGCUGAGGCACGAAAGCGUGGGGAGCGAACAGGAUUAGAUACCCUGGUAGUCCACGCCGUAAACGAUGAUUACUCGGUAUUGGCGAUACACUGUCAGUACCCAAGCGAAAGUUUUAAGUAAUCCACCUGGGAAGUACGUCGGCAAACGAUGA
Molecule: ribosomal RNA, 373 nt
Filed under: uncultured organism
Description: partial 16S ribosomal RNA
Rfam family: Bacterial small subunit ribosomal RNA
Source: RNAcentral